UCCCUCAUAGCUCAGUCGGUAAAGAAUCUGCCUGCAACGCAGGAGACCCAGGUUCGAUUCCUGGGUUGGGAA
RNAcentral lists this transfer RNA (72 nucleotides) under Bos taurus (domestic cattle). It matches the Rfam family "tRNA". From Rfam's summary of the family: Transfer RNA (tRNA) molecules are approximately 80 nucleotides in length. Their secondary structure includes four short double-helical elements and three loops (D, anti-codon, and T loops). RNAcentral also lists the same sequence under 4 other names. The record is from Rfam by way of RNAcentral. Lineage: Eukaryota; Metazoa; Chordata; Mammalia; Artiodactyla; Bovidae.